Molecule: long non-coding RNA, 4000 nt
Filed under: Nicotiana tabacum (common tobacco)
Lineage: Eukaryota; Viridiplantae; Streptophyta; Magnoliopsida; Solanales; Solanaceae
Description: long non-coding RNA (NTAB_LNC007356)
Source: RNAcentral
AAUUCAUCCUAUGGUUGAGUUGAGGGGUUCUGCUUCUUGGUUUUUGCAGGACUUUGUUACUGUGGAAUAAAGGUAUGUAUAUGUACUGCUAAUAGAGUUUUAGUAUUGUAUUUUUCCAUAUAGUUAUUUGUGCUUGGCCAAUGACAGCUUUCGUCUCUCUAUUCUUAUGACCUGUGUCUGAUUCCUUAGAUAAAAAAUUCUCCGUCACCAAGGUGUUUGAUAAAAUUCUUCAAUGAAUUUGGACCGUGUCUUUAAUUUCUUAUGCACCCUCCUGGUGUUUUCUAUCAUCACGAGGUAAGAGAGAAAAUAGAAAAUUACGAAUGCAUGUACUAUCAUAUUAUCAACAGAGGAGAGCCGAAUGUUUGACACGAUCUUUUAAACCUUUUUUCUUUCUCCCUUUUCACAAGGCAUGAGAGAUUAUAAUUACAGAGAUAAAUAUUUGACGAGUUGUUGUUGUAACUAUGCGGAUUUUCUAUCUUUUAUAGGUAUCUGUAUUUGUAUGGUAUCUUUGGAUGAAACAUUACCAAAAUAUUGCAAGUUAGUUGACUGAUAUAUGGAGCUUUUGUAAGGUGAUUGCUUGAAAAGAGACAAAGUGUGAAUUGCUUUAUUUUAGAUGGAAUUUGUGUUAAAUAUUUCACUACAUGGGACAGCAACAUUUAAACCUUAAUGAUUUUGCUCCAACUCCUGCAAUUUGUGUGUAACUACUUGGAUUUGGCAAACUUAUUGAGAGAAACAAAUUCAUGGAUUUGGCCAACCAUUUUCUCUGGAGACAUUAUGCAUCUUACAUUUUCUCUUGAUUGCUUGGAGAAAUGGUUCAAUUUCAUCUUUUUCAAAAAAGGACAUAAUUCACUGCAUUCAAGUUAUUCUGAGUUUUAGCUUUGCAUCUGGGUCCUAAUGUUUUGUCUUAUUGGACCUUGACAUUAGUAUUCUGCUUCCUGUUUACAAAGAGUGAUUAAUUUGUGUUUUUUUUUCUUUUUGUUAAUAAAUUUGGUACAUUUAUUUGAUCUUUUCAUUUAAAAUUUUAGUUCCUUUAGAAGAAGAGAUACGGAUAGAGACCUAAGAUUUUAAUGAAGACUUUAGCAUCUUUCAAGAUGAAAUUGCCUUCUUCUUUAGGAAAUAGUGCUAACAAGUUGUGUAGUUACCAGAUGGUGGUUGGGGAUGUUUUGGAAGCAUUUUCAGCAUCAAUCACUUCUUUGAGCAUUUGCAGCAAGGUAAUAUUUGGACUUUUCGGUUCAAGAAAUGAAUGUCUUUGUUGAAUUUUGGUUGUUUGUACUUUUUCAAGAAAAUAUGUUUAUAUUUUAAUAUGAGUGUUGAUUGAAGGAUUCUAGUUUUCAAUGUUACUUGUUUGUUGAUAAAGUUAUUGCUGAGUUGGAGAAGCAUUUAUGUGCUGACCUGUCAGAAUCCUUUACAUUUACCAUCACCAGGUUUGUUCCCCAUUAUCUUACUAAAAAAGCAUCAUCAGAUUUAUACACCGUUAUCAUCAUCAGGUAUGUCUGUUAUGUUCGUGUAUUGAAUGUUGGUUUGGGAAUGAGGAAGGAAUGCAAAGUAUACCACUGCCUCACAGAAUGCAUUAUACGAAAGGCAAUAUGCUUCAUAGCUGAAGUGUUGGGCCUAAGACUUUAUUCUUGCAUUUAUCUCUAUGAAAUUAAAACUUGUAGUUCUUCGCUGCUCAUUUCAUGCACGAGAAUGAAAUCUUAAAACUAUAAGGUGCAGUCCGGUGGAACAAGAAGAAUUUUAUAAGGUUAACCAGUUCAAAUACUUUUAAGACUCUUUGACAAGUGUAACAACGUUUUAACUUUUCGUACUUAGACUUAGUGGGGAGAACAGUAGAGCUUUAAAGGGUAGUUCCCUGCAUUAUAAAUAUGAAAGAAAUUCGACACCUUCUGAAUCUCUUAGGCUGUCAAUGUAAGACUGUUGGCCUUCCACUGAAAAGUUUAUCCAUAUGUGAGGAUAUAUAAUAAAAGAGAUAUGGUGUAGCAUGGGCAUUUCAUUUGAGUUCUCUGAGGCCUUCAAGACUCACUCUUAUCAAAGUGAGAGCAAUUUUCAUGAACUCUCACAUGAUUCCUCUCAUACUAUAAACAAAAGUGUGUUUUUGUGAUACCCCGGUUAGGAGGUGCGAGAGGUUGCAAGUGGCGAGUCAGAGGAGGGGUAGAGGGAGGCUUAAGAAGAACUGGGGUGAAGUGAUUAGGCAGGACAACUCUGCUCCAGCUUACCGAGGACAUGACCCUCGAUAGAAAGGUGUGGAGGUCGAAAAUUAGGGUGGUGGGUUGAUAGACAGUCUAGAGUUUGUCUUGUCUUACUAGUAGUAGUUGUACUAGUCGGGUACCUUCCUAUUCCUAGUCCCUUGUUUAUAUACGGUAUGUCAGUAUUAGCAGUGAGAUUGACACUAUUCUUGUUGUUUCAUUUCCUUGGAUCUCUGUCACUAUUCGUUGUAUUAUUUGCUUACAUUGUCUUAUUACAUUGUUGUUGCUAUUGUUUCUCUAUUGUUCCAUUUUUUUUUUACGUUCUUGAGCCGAAAGUCUUUCAGAAACAACUUCUCUACCUUCAUAAAUAGGGGUAAGGUCUGCGUACACACUACCCUCCCCAGACCCCACUUGUGUGAUUCCAUUGGGUUGUUGUUGUUGGUUAUUUUAUUUGGUAAAUUGACUUUUCUUUAGAUUCAAGUCUAGUCUGAUUAGAUGAGAGCAACAGAUGUGCUUAGCAGAUAAGAUGACAUUUUGUUCUCGGCAUUUAACAUUUUCUUUGCCAGAUUUGUCAGUUGUUGUAUCGUAUUUAGCAUGUAAGAAGAUGCUAAACCCAUUACUCCUAAUACUUAUCGGGAAAAAACUACUGAAGUUGUCGAUUUGUAAUUAGCAUACUCUCUGCCCAUGGCAUUAGAAAUUUCAUGCUUUCCAGCAUGUCAUAUGUUUCCAAAUUCAAUUAGUUUUGAGGAUGGUUUGAUUGGAUAGGUUAAAAGGAGUCGCUAAGAGACAUUUAAAUUAUGAGCUGCCAUAUCAAAAGCUUUAGUCUUCUCGCGCCUGUAAAUUCUACAAUUCAGAUGACUAAUUUGAUUUUAUAUGUCGUGUUAUGUGUUCUCUUUCAGACAAAAAAAUUGCGAAUUGUGAGUUUGAUGAAAUAGUAUGAUUUUUUAAUAUUGGUUCUUUAAUUUAUCCAAUCUCAAUUCUUUGAAAGUAAGUUCUUAGGCAGUUUUCCUGUAAUAUACAAAUUAUGAUUUCAAAAAAUCCCUUUAAUAAAGAAAAGAAAAGGAUUCGCAUUCAGACUUAGUCUUUACACUUCAUUUGCAGUAUGAGAUCUAUGAUUCUGCACUUGUUAGGCAUUCCCUUCUUGAGAUCAAUCAAGACGCAAAUUAGCUUUACGUACAAAUAUGUCAUGUGUACUUGCAGUUGUGAUUCUGCAUAACUUAGUAUGCACAUGUAUCUGUCUGCUUACUGUGAGUUUAUAUUUGAGGUAAUAUACAUAUAGGUAUGGUCCUCUUUGCUCUUUGGAAUUACUAAAUUCUAUUAGUCUCCUAUUGAUCUUCCAGGGUGACUUUUGCUCCUCACUUUUUUCCGUCUGAACUUCAUAUUAUUUGACAAAGAAAUAGAAUGAGUUCCUUUAGGCAACCACAAUGCUAAAGUUGCAUCUAGCAUAAUUAUUCGGUGAUCAUUGUUCUGUUUAUGGAUUGUAAAUCUUGUCAAUGAAAAUUUGGUAACUCAGGAUGGAGAUUGCUUGGAUUGGGUAAUUCCUCAACAUGCAAAGAUGAUCUUCUUACUCUUUGGAGAUACUAAAUUCUGAUAGAAUUUCCUCUUCUCUUCAAGUGAUUUCCACUAUAUAUCUUCUCUUUUCGUACAACUUGCUCUUGUUUGGAAGAAAAUAAAAUUAUAUUUUGAAGUCUUCACACCGUGCUAAAGUUGCAUUUGACAUAUUUCUUCGAUGAUUUUUUUAUUUUGCUUAUGAAAAUUACCUCACUCAUGUGGAUAGACGAAAUCUUUUCUGGCAAAGUUGAAUCCAAAUACUUGAG